UGAGUGUGGACUUGCGUUGUUAAUGUGAAA
This 30-nucleotide non-coding RNA is filed under the name Rattus norvegicus (Norway rat). Lineage: Eukaryota; Metazoa; Chordata; Mammalia; Rodentia; Muridae. The record is from RNAcentral.